Molecule: ribosomal RNA, 254 nt
Filed under: uncultured bacterium
Lineage: Bacteria
Description: partial 16S ribosomal RNA
Rfam family: Bacterial small subunit ribosomal RNA
Source: RNAcentral
UACGUAGGGUGCAAGCGUUGUCCGGAAUUAUUGGGCGUAAAGAGCUCGUAGGCGGUCUGUCGCGUCGGCUGUGAAAAGCCCGGAGCUCAACUCCGGGUCUGCAGUCGAUACGGGCAGACUUGAGUGUUGCAGGGGAGACUGGAAUUCCUGGUGUAGCGGUGAAAUGCGCAGAUAUCAGGAGGAACACCGGUGGCGAAGGCGGGUCUCUGGGCAACAACUGACGCUGAGGAGCGAAAGCGUGGGGAGCGAACAGG